This 263-nucleotide ribosomal RNA is filed under the name uncultured fungus. RNAcentral describes it as "partial large subunit ribosomal RNA". Lineage: Eukaryota; Fungi. The record is from RNAcentral.
UAUGGUUGGCCAACGUCAGUUUCGUUUACCAUAAAAUGAUCAGGGGAAUGUAGCUUCGAUCUCGUAUUGAAGUGUUAUAGACUUUGGUAGAUGUGGUAAACGAAACUGAGGAUUGCAACGAAUACCCCUUCGGGCUAUCCGUCUGGCCUCUGAUAGUCGCCUAGGUGCCGAAAGCUUGCUUACGGUCGUCUAAGGUGGCGGUCAAAAGGUUAGAACGCGAUUACAUUCGUUAAGGAUGUUGACGUAACCACCCCAUGUGCGGU